AGAAAAUUAAUCCUGCGGAUGUAUUUGACAUUCGAAGGCGAUUGUCGGAUGAUAAGCAGAAACGAAAAUACUUACCUAAAAUAUAUGAUCCUUUCGUGAAUGGAGGCUUUCGUGCAGAAAUCCAAAAAAAUGUUUCACUUCGACCCUUUAUUACAAAUGAAACUGACACAACAAACUCCAUUUUGGUAAAUAAGAUUCAUGGUCUCCUUAUUUCUAAUAAUAGUAAUUCUCUAGAAUUUGACCAGAAAAUAGAUCAAUUUGAUAGAAAAUUAUUAUUAACUAAAAUUGGGUUUUUUGUUAAGUUAAUCAGUAAAUUUUCGGAAAAAUCAGUAUCAAGUUUGGAUUUUGACGCAAUUCACUUAUUUCCAGAACAUGAACAAGGAAAAAUGUAUUCCGAAGAAAAAAAAACUUUUUUUUCGACGCAAUUCGGACUACUCAUACCAACGAUACAAUUUUCACUACAAGUUUAUCGAGUGAAAUAAACGAAAUAAGUAAAGAAGUUCCUCGAUGGGAAUACCAAUUGAUCGACGACAUCGAGGUAGGGCUGAAUCNGAAGAAAAUUAAUCCUGCGGAUGUAUUUGACAUUCGAAGGCGAUUGUCGGAUGAUAAGCAGAAACGAAAAUACUUACCUAAAAUAUAUGAUCCUUUCGUGAAUGGAGGCUUUCGUGCAGAAAUCCAAGACAACGUUUCACUUCGACCCUUUAUUACAAAUGAAACUGACACAACAAACUCCAUUUUGGUAAAUAAGAUUCAUGGUCUCCUUAUUUCUAAUAAUAGUAAUUCUCCAGAAUUUGACCAGAAAAUAGAUCAAUAUGAUAGAAAAUUAUUAUUAACUAAAAUUGGGUUUUUUGUUAAGUUAAUCAGUAAAUUUUCGGAAAAAUCAGUAUCAAGUUUGGAUUUUGACGCACUUCACUUAUUUCCAGAACAUGAACAAGGAAAAAUGUAUUCCGAAGAAAGAAAAAAAAACUUUUUUUCCGACGCAAUUCGGACUACUCAUACCAACGAUACAAUUUUCACUACAAGUUUAUCGAGUGAAAUAAACGAAAUAAGUAAAGAAGUUCCUCGAUGGGAAUACCAAUUGAUCGACGAC
RNAcentral lists this long non-coding RNA (1090 nucleotides) under Lathyrus oleraceus (garden pea). RNAcentral's name for it is "Pisum sativum (pea) long non-coding RNA (PSAT_LNC034490)". The record is from RNAcentral. Lineage: Eukaryota; Viridiplantae; Streptophyta; Magnoliopsida; Fabales; Fabaceae.